CCCCACUCUCUCUCUCUCGCGCACGUACCCCACCUAACCCCUCUUUCCCUCCUCUCUCUCUCUCUCGGGAACCCUAGCGCUCCACUCCUCCCUUGCCGCCGCCACCUCCGGCGGUAAUCGAAGACCAUAUCCGGUGAGAUCUGGCGCGCGCAGCGAGAUCCAUCUCUCUCUCACACACGAGAAGGAAAAUCCCCCGCCCCAUUCCCACGACUCAUCUGCCUCUCCCUCGAUCCCCUUCCUUCCCGAGGACGCACGCGCCGCCGCCUCCCCGAUCCCCUUCUCCCCUCGCCACCCCACAUCACCCCGCCAUCCACCUCGUCGCCUCCCUGAUUCAUCCUCCUCCUCCUCCUAUUCCCCUCAUCAGAUCCAUCCAUCCAUUCAUUUUUCCAUCAGAUCCACCUGACGCCAUCGCAUCCCCUUCUCGCUCGCAGGGUUGCAGGCGAUUCAAUCUGGUCCGGGUCCAUGGCGUCCAAGGCCGUGGCGGCGCUACUGGUGACGGACGAGCUGGCCCUGCCGCUCCGUGCGGUGGGGGACGGCAGCGGGGAAGCACGCAGCUGCGCAGCGACCGCGUGAGGUUUCAGUGAGCGGCCGCAUUGCUACGGCAGGAGGACCAACGCGCGCUUCCGGCGACGAGGCUCCAUCGCGCGAACCAAGACACGGACUCGACAGGAUGGCUCUGCGGGACUCCAGUGUCAGAAGCAGCGGUUGGGGCUACGCGGUGACCCCAGGACGCCGCUGCCCGAUUCCGGCGCGAAGGCUACCUCGCGCAAAUCAUGGCGGCCUUGACCAAGGAGGGGUCCGUGCCGCGCGGCGACCGGUGGUGAGCGUCGGUGCUGGCGAGUUUGGGUCAGUACGUCGCGACGGCGGCGAGCCUGCUCGGCGGCCCAUGAUUGGACCUUGGAGCCGCGCGAAGAGAAGGGGAUCCACUCCAAACCCAGGAUAGGCAACAUGGUGACUCUAGUGCUGACAUCUCCCGGUCGCGGCGCGUGUGAUCUGACUGUGUUGGGUUGGUGUCUAGUUGCAGGACAAGGUGGCGAACUCACUGUUUGAGAAGACGUCGAACCAGUUAGGCAUCGGCUGCGCGCUACCGCCCAAGAAGGACCUCCACCUGUUCGCCAGCGCCGCAUACUCAAGCAGCGCAUCCGUGCCCAGCCGCGGUUGUUUUUGCCCAUUUAUGUUGUUGCUUUAGUAGCAUUCUUUCCUUUCUUUUAUGUAGCAGCAGAGCACCACUCUUACUAUGCACUUCGCUCCAGAUUCUGCUACAAUUACAAAUUUAAAAUGCAUUCAUGCAUGAGCAGUGCAUGUGUUGGC
Molecule: long non-coding RNA, 1311 nt
Organism: Triticum aestivum (bread wheat)
Lineage: Eukaryota; Viridiplantae; Streptophyta; Magnoliopsida; Poales; Poaceae
Exons: 2
Source: RefSeq, a predicted model, not a curated record